GUAAUUAACAAGUAUUAUACUUUAUAAUUAGAAAAAACAAAUUUAAACUUUAUAAGUUUAUAAGGAGCUUAUAUAUACAAAUAUACAAAAAUAGGGUCUAACAAAACAGGCUCUUAUAAAAUGCCAUCCAUGAUAGCAAGUUCAAUUUUGUCAUUUAAGCUCAAAACAAGCUCCCCACUCAAUUUUAAAAUACAUAUCUUCAUUAAGUUAUCAAUUUGAAAAUGUCAACCUUCGGUUUAUGCCUGUAAGGUAUAAUUACUAUUCACUUGGAUUCUAGACUCAAUUGACAGAUUAGAAAUACAGUGCCACUAAAUGGGAUAUUGGUUAAGUACACAUUUUCUGAAGCCAAUUUUUGGUGUUGGUCAAGCUAUUUGCCUCUCUGAGCCUCAGCCUCUUCAUUGGUAAAAUAUGGACAAUAAUAUUACGUACUUCACAGGGUUAUUAUGAGCUUGAAUGAGUUAGUAAAUGUUAAGCCCUAGGACAGUGCCUGGUAUAUAAGAAGCACUCAAUAAAUAUUAACAAAUUUUAUUAUAGCCAUAAUAUGUCUAUUAUGUAAAAGCUUCAAUUUCCCUCACAAAAGCAAAACCAUGACUUAAUAUAAGCUAAUUGUAACAAUGUUACAUUUAUCCUAUUCCAAACAUGAGUUAGUCCAUGUAAGUAAAUUUUUCAGAUAAUUCAGACAGCUGAACCUUAACCUUUUAAGUGUCCAAUCAUUUUAGUUUUAAUCCUCAAAACAUAUUCAAAACCUGUCAUUUUGUUCUGGUUAAGCAGCUUCUUUCCAGAAGUCUAUAUUUGCCAAAACCCUAGUUCUAGACGAAAUGGAGAGAAGAGGAUCAAAAUAAGCAUAAUAUAAUGUUAGGUCCUACCUAACAUUUUAUUACAUAUUGAGUUGCUUAUUUUCCAUCUCCCCUACAUAUAAGAAUGUAAGUAUCUUGAGGGCAGAGACAUUAUGUAUUUGGUUCUUUGCUGUGUCUCAACACCUAGAACAACAUCUAACACAUAAUAGACACUUGAAAAAUAUUUGUUAAAUGAGUGAAUAAAAUAUGAUGCUAGAGAACCACAGCCUCCAGGUGUGCUCUUUUAAAGUUUCUUAGCUUUCCUUUCUGCAAAGUAAGAGUGGUAAAAUUCAACCACCUAUCUUUCAAUAGUGCUCAAAAGACUAAAGAUCUUAAUUUUAAAAUCUUUAAAGAAAGAUAUAUCAGAAAUUAUCUAACAUAGGCCCCCUUUAAAGAAGUCUCUUCACCCCCUUAAGGAAUCACCGUAUUCAUAGUAAUAAAACAAGACAUUUAGAAUUGCUAUUUAUUACCAUGGCUCUGGAGCAUAGAUUCUCAAGAAGAACCACCAUUUGAAGUUGGUGAGGCUGGUGAGGGCUUUCAAUCAAGAACAGGCUGCCCUCUUAGCUCAGCUCCCAUGAUGGUAGGCUUU
RNAcentral lists this long non-coding RNA (1425 nucleotides) under Homo sapiens (human). RNAcentral's name for it is "HSALNT0045604". The record is from RNAcentral. Lineage: Eukaryota; Metazoa; Chordata; Mammalia; Primates; Hominidae.